UACAGAGGGGGCGAGCGUUGUUCGGAAUUACUGGGCGUAAAGGGCGCGUAGGCGGCCCGCUAAGUCGAACGUGAAAUCCCCAGGCUCAACCUGGGAACUGCGUCCGAUACUGGCAGGCUUGAAUCCGGGAGAGGGAUGUGGAAUUCCAGGUGUAGCGGUGAAAUGCGUAGAUAUCAGGAGGAACCCCUGUGGUGUAGACGGCUUACUGGACUAUAACUGACGCUGAGGAACGAAAGCGUGGGUAGCAAACAGG
This 253-nucleotide ribosomal RNA is filed under the name uncultured bacterium. RNAcentral's name for it is "partial 16S ribosomal RNA". It matches the Rfam family "Bacterial small subunit ribosomal RNA", at positions 524 to 776 of the family's 1533-position model. The record is from RNAcentral.